GGGGAAUCUUGCGCAAUGGGGGGAACCCUGACGCAGCGACGCCGCGUGCGGGACGGAGGCCUUCGGGUCGUAAACCGCUUUCAGCAGGGAAGAGUCAAGACUGUACCUGCAGAAGAAGCCCCGGCUAACUACGUGCCAGCAGCCGCGGUAAUACGUAGGGGGCGAGCGUUAUCCGGAUUCAUUGGGCGUAAAGCGAGCGCAGGCGGUUUGAUAAGUCUGAAGUUAAAGGCUGUGGCUCAACCAUAGUUCGCUUUGGAAACUGUCAAACUUGAGUGCAGAAGGGGAGAGUGGAAUUCCAUGUGUAGCGGUGAAAUGCGUAGAUAUAUGGAGGAACACCGGUGGCGAAAGCGGCUCUCUGGUCUGUAACUGACGCUGAGGCUCGAAAGCGUGGGGAGCGAACAGGAUUAGAUACCCUGGUAGUCCACGCCGUAAACGAUGAGUGCUAGGUGUUGGAUCCUUUCCGGGAUUCAGUGCCGCAGCUAACGCAUUAAGCACUCCGCCUGGGGAGUACGACCGCAAGGUUGAAACUCAAAGGAAUUGACGGGGGCCCGCACAAGCGGUGGAGCAUGUGGUUUAAUUCGAAGCAACGCGAAGAACCUUACCAGGUCUUGACAUCCCGAUGCUAUUUCUAGAGAUAGAAAGUUACUUCGGUACAUCGGUGACAGGUGGUGCAUGGUUGUCGUCAGCUCGUGUCGUGAGAUGUUGGGUUAAGUCCCGCAACGAGCGCAACCCCUAUUGUUAGUUGCCAUCAUUCAGUUGGGCACUCUAGCGAGACUGCCGGUAAUAAACCGGAGGAAGGUGGGGAUGACGUCAAAUCAUCAUGCCCCUUAUGACCUGGGCUACACACGUGCUACAAUGGUUGGUACAACGAGUUGCGAGUCGGUGACGGCAAGCUAAUCUCUUAAAGCCAAUCUCAGUUCGGAUUGUAGGCUGCAACUCGCCUACAUGAAGUCGGAAUCGCUAGUAAUCGCGGAUCAGCACGCCGCGGUGAAUACGUUCCCG
This 1002-nucleotide ribosomal RNA is filed under the name uncultured bacterium. RNAcentral's name for it is "bacterial SSU rRNA". It matches the Rfam family "Bacterial small subunit ribosomal RNA", at positions 356 to 1376 of the family's 1533-position model. The record is from RNAcentral.